This is a long non-coding RNA of Prunus persica (peach), 11244 nucleotides long. RefSeq lists it as uncharacterized. The record is from RefSeq and is a predicted model, not a curated record. Lineage: Eukaryota; Viridiplantae; Streptophyta; Magnoliopsida; Rosales; Rosaceae. The transcript has 2 exons.
AGAAAACCAAUUGACACAUACAUGAGCAUGUGCCAAGGGGCUAAUUUAUAUAAUAUAUAAAAAGUCACCCUUUGAUGGGCUUCCUUCUUUGUGUCCAGAUAUACUCUUGGAAAUUGGGCUUGAUGAAACUAGAGAUCUUAGGCUAGUCACAGGGUGUGGACCAGUGCCAAGAAUAUUAAACGGUCCACUCCUUCUGUUCCUUUCAGCCCAGGCCAGUAUUGUUACACUACCACUUGCUUCGAGAAUUUUCAAAAAAAGACGUGGCAGCUUUUCUUUUCUUUUAUUUGUUUUAAAUUUUUUUCAUCCAAACAUUUAUAGGAAUCCUGGUCCAACAAGGUCUGGACACGUGUCAGUUUCCCUUUAUUUUUCUCUAUGCGAAUGUGUAUAGGAAUCCUGGUCAACACGGACUGCGAGUCUUCGCCCAAAAACCACGUGGCAGAUUUUAUUUUUUUCCAUCCAAAAGGAAUCGGGAUCCGACAAGAUGUGCGCGUCCUCACCACCACAAAUAUAGAAAGUAAUAAAAUAAAAAAAGAGAAAGUAGCGUUGAUUUCAAGUCAUUACAACCAAGAAAGAAAAACCGCGUCGACAGCUCAUCACUAUCCGUUACAACUUACACAUCCACCGUCUAUUAUUUCCAUCACCGGCUCAAUCUUGGCCGUUCAUGCCGACCCCCUCUCCUCAUAAAUACCCUUCAGACGUUCUCACAAAUCAUUCUGCUGGUCCCUGAACGAAAGGGCGAUGGCGAUCAGGGUGUGGUGAUGGAUUUGGCUACCGAUUAAAAGUGGAAUCUAAUGACCGUUGAAGGUUGUGACGAUAUAAAGAACCAGAGGUUGUGUAUAUUUGCAGGCUUGUUUUAUUGGUUCAGAUGAGAUCCAAACAAGAUUGGCCUGAUGGUGAAGUAGGUGUUUGUUAUGAAACUGCUUUGAAUUCGAUUUGGAUCUUCUAGUUGUUUUGUAUAGAUAGAAUUUGUUGAUUUGAGGGCGAAGUUCAUCUUUAUUGAUAUGCUUAUGUGUUUUGAUUGGCCUGAUGGUGAUGACUGCCAGGGCAUCUAGUUCUGCUUGCGAUUUGAUUUGGACGGAAAACUGCAUGAUUUUGUUCUGAAGUUUAGAAUAUAAUGAUUUGGAAAUUUCCCUCGUUUUUUUAUCAAUCAAAUAAGCGGAGCUUUGCUGUUAUUUUUCAGGCCUCGUUUGCGGUGUUUGACACACGAGGGUUAGAUGUUAUGGUUAGCUGAUAACUCCAUAGGUUCUUAUGGGAUCUGAUUGUAUGGCUACGAGGUUGGAUUUUAUACUGAUUUGCGGACGCAAUGGAAUGUUGAAUGUCAAAAUUGUCUAUCUGGAUCUAUUGAUUUGCAGGAGAUAGUAAUCGUGUUGCAGAUUUGAGCUUAUGUCUGCACCUUUUCAGUCUUUGGAUGGAGUCCAUUUGUAAAGGUUUUCAUUGGUUUGCUGCAUAUGGAUUAUUGUUUUUGGUUACAUGCUUAUUCUUUUACAGUUUGUCAAAAUGCGCGUCUUUAUAUAUCUUUCAAGUCCCUGAAAUUUUUAAGUAAUAUCAUGUUUAUGUCCUCCUCCUUUUCCCUAUGAUCAUGCCGAACUUUCUGCUCUUAUAUUGACAUACUAAAUCCAGAAUUCCUGUUAACCUUCUUAGUUCGUAGCCUUUCAUUUCGAUGUGUUUCUUGUUUUUUGGGUAUGUUCUAAACGGGUUUUUAUGUCCUCAAUUUUGGCUUUCUAUUGAUUUUCUCUGUUGGAAUGAAAGGGUCUAUUUUAAUUUCUUCUUAUCUCAAAGAUAUAGUAAUUGUUUUUUCAAAGAUAUAAAAUUAUUCAAUGUAUUUGAUCAAUAAAUUUUGCUUUCUAUAAAAUUGUUUUCUCUCAGUUGAUUACAGACCCCGAGUAUUUCUCACUUACCUCUUUAUUCCCAUGUAUUUAAUCAAUAAAUUUUGCUUUAUGGUCUUUAAGCUAUUAAUAAUUACAACCAAAAGUGGUUUGGCGCAGCGUUAUGUUUUUUAAAAGUUUGUUCAUUUCUAUGGUUGUCAUUGCAUAUAUUUGGACUUCGAAUUUGUAUAGCAGUGUGGUUAGGUUUUGUCUUGAUGAUUCACUAAUUUUGUGAUUAAAGUGCUUAUGGAGACUAAGUUGGAUGGAGCCAAAAGUUUAUGACACUUAUGGGGGAGCUGUUCUGGUUUGGUUAACAUGUUAAAUCUUUUUCUUUUAAGAUUUUAAUUUUUUUUUAAUACAAGUUCCUCUCUCUCCCUCUCUCUCUCUCUCUCUCUCUCUCUCUCGCUCUCGCUCUUGCUCUCACCCCAAAAUUAAUAUUAGGUACUAUGUAUUUUUCAGGUUUCUUCCGUUGGUUUCAAAUUGGCAUACUACCUAAGAGGGGGUUUAAUGCUGUUGCCUUUCGUUUCCCAUUUAAAUUUUUUUAUUAAAUUUGAUGUUUAUAUUUUAGCAAUAUCUUAUGUAGAUGCAACCUAAUUUUUGUCUUAGGGACAAAGUUUCACCACGGGGUAACGGUUUGAGAGCUCAAAGCCGCUUGUUUUGUUUGUUCCCCUUCGUUGGUUUCUUAUUUUUGUUACUUGUUCAAUAUCGUGAAUUAUGUGAUCUGUCUUUACGUUGUUGUCUUGCUUUAGUCCACAUUAUGUAGUGAUUAUCAGGAUUUUGAGCAGUUCCUGGGGUUACCUUGUUUGCUGAUUUUUUUGCAGGAAGUUGGUUUUAACGCCACAGUUAAUGAAGGAAUUGGAAUUAGGUUAUUGGGAGAACAUGUUAAAUCCUUUCUCUCUCAAGUUUUUUAAACUUUUAUAUACGUCUCUCUCUCUUUCUGUCUAUUUCACUUCUUAAUUAAUAUAAUGUAUUAUGUAUUUUUCAGGUUUCUUAUGUUGGGUUUGAAUUGACUUACUACUAGCUAAGAGGGGGUUUAAUGUUGCCUUUUGUUUCCCAUUCCAGAAAUCUAUUACAUUUGGUGCUGCUUUUUUAGCAAUAUCUUAUGUAGAUGCACCUUAAUUCUUGUCUUAGGGACAAAGUGGGGGCACCGGUUUGAGAGAUCAAGGCCACUGGUUUUUUUUGUUCACCUUCCUUGGAUUCGUAUUUUCGUUACUUGUUCAAUAUCUUGAAUUCUGUGGUCUGUCUUUCCAUUGAUGUCUUGCUUUAGUCCACAUUAUGUAGUGAUUAUCAGGAUUUUGAGCAGUUAUACAACUCUCUCUCUCUCUCUCUCUCUCUCUCUCUCUCUCUCAAUAUCUCUGUAUUUCACCCCUAAAUUGGUCAGGUAUUAUGUUUUUCAGGUUUCUUCUGUUGGGUUUGAAUUGACUUACUACAAUAAAGGGGGUUUAAUGAUGUUGCUCUUUUGUUUCCCAUUUCAAUUUUUAUUUUUAUUUUUAUACAUUUGGUGUUAUUAUUAUAGCAAAUAUCUUAUGUAGUUGCACCCUAAUUCUUGUCUUAGGGACAGAGUUUCAUCGGGGCGCACCAGCUUGAGAACUCAAGGCCGCUGGUUUUGUUUGUUCACUUUCCUUGGUUUCUUAUUUUUGUUACUUGUUCAAUAUUGUGAAUUUUGUGGUCUCUUUUCCGUCGAUGUCUUGCUUUAGUCCACAUUAUGUAGUGAUUGCAGUUGCAUUGUUUGGUGAUUUGUUUUGUAGGAAUUUGGUUUUAGAUGUUUACGCCUCAGUUAAAUGGAAGUGGAAAUAGGUUAUUGGGAGAAUAUGUUUGCGUUUUGUUUUUUUGAUGAAAUUGUUUAAUUCUCUACUCGUUCAAUGUCCUAAAUUAUUGGGAGAACAUCUUAAAUAUUAUAUCGUUUAAUUUUUUAAAGAUUUUUAUAUAUAUAUAUUUAUAUAUAUAUCUCUCUCUUUCUCUCUCUCUCUCUUGCCCCUAAAUUAAUAUUAGGUAUUAUGUAUUUUUCAGGGUUCUUCUGUUGGGUUUGAUUCGACUUACUACCUUAAAGGGGGUUUAAUGCUGUUGCCUUUUGUUUCCCAUUUCAAAAAUUUAUUACAUUUGGUGCUGUUAUUUUUUCAAUAUCUUAUGUAGAUGCACCCUAAUUCUUGUCUUAGGGACAAAGUUUCACCUGGGGGCACCGGUUUGAGAGCUCAAAGCCGCUGGUUUUGUUUGUUCACCUUGUUUCUUAUUUUUGUUACUUGCUCAAUAUCGUUUUGUUUGUUCACCUUGUUUCUUAUUUUUGUUACUUGCACAAUAUCGUUUCUGUGGUUUUUCCGUUGGUGUCUUGUGCCGACUUGCAUAAUGCAGAGACUUGUUUUAGUCCUCAUUAUGCAAGUCUAUGAGGAUUUUGAGCAGUCCUACACUUACCUUGUUUGGUGAAUUUUUGCAUGAAUUUGAUUUUGAAGGUUUAUGCUGCAGUUAAAUGGAAGAGGAAAUAAGUUAUUUGGUGUUUUUGGUGAAAUUGUUUUAUUCUCUGCACGUUUGAUGUCCUAUAUUAUUGGGAGAACAUGUUAAAUAUUUUUCUUUUAUUGUUUUAUUUUUUUUAUAUAUUAAGUGUAUAUCUCUCCCUCUAACACUUAAUUAAUAUUAAUUAUUAUGUAUUUUCAGGUUUCUUCUGUUGGGUUUGAAUUGACAUGCUACCUAAGAAGGGGUUUAUUGUUGUUGCCUUUUGUUUUACAUUUCAAAAAUUGAUUACAUUCGGUGCCUGUUAUUUUAGCUAUAUCUUAUGUAGAUGCACCCUAAUUCUUGUCUUAGGGACAAAGUUUCAACUUGGUGCAUGGGUUUGAGUGGAGUGCAAGGCUGCUGGUUUUUUUUCACCCUUCUUGGUAUAUGAGGGGAUAUGUUCAAAAUCACCAUCAAUCUUAUUAAUCUUUUUUUUCUUCAUUCGAAGAUAUAAUAUUAUGAUGUUUUGAUUACAGAUGCUGAAUGUGUCUUUACUUCCUUCUGUGCUGCCAUGUGUUUGUUCGAUGUAUGUUGCUUUAUGGUCAUUCCAUAUAUUUGGUCUCCCAAAUUGUAUAGCGGUCUGGUUUGACAUUCUCUUGAUGAUGAUUCCCUAUUUUCGUGAUUUGAUGCGUAUGGAGAAUUGGUUGCAUUUAAAGUUUAUGACUCUAGUCUAUUGUGGGAAGCAGAUUCUGGUUUGGUUUCUUAAUAAGAACAUGUUAACUUCCUACUUUAAAAUUCUCUCUCUCUCUCUCUCUCUCUCUCUCUCUCACCCCCUAAAUGAAUAUUGGGUACUUUGUAUUUUUCAGGUUUUCUUCUGUGGGGUUCUAAUUGACAUACCAUUUAAGAGGGGGUUUAAUUCUUCUUUCCUUCUGUUUAAUUUCCCAUCUUAAGGAUUUAUAAGAUUUGGUGCUGUUAUUUAGCAAUAUCUGAAGUAGAUGCAUCCUAAUUCUUGUCUUAGGGACAAAGUUUUCCUUGGGGCAUGGCAAUGAAUGGAGCUCCUGGGUGCUGGUUUUGUUUAUUCACCCUCUUGCUUUCUUGUUUCUUUUACAUGUUCAAUAUCGGUGAAUUAUGUGGUUGUCUUUCCUUUGAUGUCUCAUGCAGAUGAAUCUCUUGCUUUUAGUCUGUCUUCAUGGAGCUGAGUAUCAGGAUUUUGAGUAGCUUCUGCAGUUGCCUUAUUGACCCUGUUUGCUUUCUUAUUUCUGUUACAUGUUCAAUAUCGUGAAUUCCGUGGUUGUCUUUCCUUUCGUGUAUUAUGCAGUGCAUCUAUUGCUUUAGUCCAGAGUAUCAGGAUUUUGAGGAGCUUCUGCAGUAGUUCUAUUUGGUGAUCUUUUGCAGGAAUUUGUUUUUGAAGGUUUACGUUGCAGUUAGUUCUUGGCUUGUAAUUUAAUUUCUUAUUUCUUUGAUGUCUGGAAUCAUUUGUUUAUGCAGAUUGCAAAUCUUGUCUGUCUAUGGAAUCUCACUCUCCGUUGAAUAAAAAUGGGUUGCCUAAUGUCUGUAUAAUGUGGGGCACAUUGUCUGAGCUAUAUUUCUGCAUGCAGGUGUAUCCUAACUCGUGUCUAUAUAUGGAGGUCUCACUUUCUCAAACGAGUUUUAAGAAGGGGUUUGAGUAGUUUUUGGCUUAUGAUUUUGUUUCUUAUUUCUUGGUGUUCAUGAGGUAUGGAACCAUUUUUUGAGCACUUUUAUGCAGAUGCAUCCCAAUGCUUGUCGGUUGCUGGAGUCUCACACUGUUGAAAGAAAAAAAGGGGUUUUUUGAGUUAUUAUCUGAUUUUAUAUUAUUGGAGCCCGUACGACAUCCUGAGACAUUUUUUGCGCAAUGUCUUUAUAUGCAGACCAUUACACUUGUCUUCUUGUAGGGUCUGAUUCCUUGAAGUAGAACAAGCUGCUUUUAAGAAGGGGUAGUUUGAGUGGUUCUCUGCUUAUGCUUUAACUUCUUACAUGAGCCAUUAUUUGAGUAAUGUUUUCUUUUAGAGUUUGAUGCAUCUUGUGUAUGGUGAAGAGUUUAUAAGAUCUGGUAUGAAGUCUAUGCAGAUGCAAUUUAACUCGCACGUGUAUGAAGUCUUCGUUUAAGGAGAGCAGGGGGUCUUUUAUCUAAUUUUUUUUUAUUCGUACCGUCUGUAUAAUGUGGGGCACAUUGUCUGUGCUAUAUUUCUGCCUGCAGGCGUAUCCUAACUCGUGACAUGGAGGUCUCACUUUCUCGAACGAGUUUUAAGAAGGGGUUUGAGUAGUUUUUGGCUUAUGAUUUUGUUUCUUAUUUCUUGGUGUUCAUGAGGUAUGGAACCAUUAUUUGAGCACUUUUAUGCGGAUGCAUCCCAAUGCUUGUCGGUUGCUGGAGUCUCACACUGUUGAAAGAAAAAAAGGGUUUUUUUGAGUUAUUAUCUGAUUUUAUAUUAUUGGAGCCUGUACGACAUCCUGAGACAUUUUUUGUGCAAUGUCUUUAAGAAAGGUUUGGGUGGUUCUUGAGUUAUUAUCUGAGUUUAUAUUCUUGGAGCCUGUAUAUGUCAUCCUGAGACAUUUUUUGCGCAAUGUCUUUAUAUGCAGACCAUUACACUUGUCUUCUUGUGGGGUCUGAUUCCUUGAAGUAGAACGAGCUGCUUUUAAGAAAGGGUGGUUUGAGUGGUUCUCUGCUUAUGCUUUAACUUCUUACAUGAGCCAUUAUUUGAGUAAUGUUUUCUUUUAGAGUUUGAUGCAUCUUGUGUAUUGGUGAAGAGUUUAUAAGAUCUGGUAUGAAGUCUAUGCAGAUGCAAUUUAACUCGCAUGUGUAUGAAGUCUUCGUUGAAGGAGAGCAGGGGGUCUUUUAUCUAAUUUUUUUUAUUCGUACCGUCUGUAUAAUGUGGGGCACAUUGUCUGAGCUAUAUUUCUGCCUGCAGGCGUAUCCUAACUCGUGUCAAUAUAUGGAGGUCUCACUUUCUCGAACGAGUUUUAAGAAGGGGUUUGAGUAGUUUUUGGCUUAUGAUUUUGUUUCUUAUUUCUUGGUGUUUAUGAGGUAUGGAACCGUUAUUUGAGCACUCUUUUAUGCAGAUGCAUCCCAACGCUUGUCAGCUGGUGGAGUCUCACACUGUUGAAAGAAAAAAAAAGGGGUUUUCCAAGUUAUUAUCUGAUUUUAUAUUAUUGGAGCCUGUAUGACAUCCUGAGACAUUUUUUGCGCAAUGUCUUUAUAUGCAGACCAUCACACUUGUCUUCUUGUGGGGUCUGAUUCUUUGAAGUAGAACGAGCUGCUUUUAAGAAAGGGUUUGGGUGGUUCUCUGCUUAUGAUUUAACUUCUUAUAUGAGCCAUUAUUUGAGUAAUGCUUUCUUUUAGAGUUUGAUGCAUCUUGUGUAUUGGUGAAGAGUUUAUAAGAUCUGGUACCAUUGUUCGAGCAAUAUUCUAUGCAGAUGCAAUUUAACUCGCAUGUGUAUGAAGUCUUUGUUUAAGGAGAGCAGGGGGUCUUUUAUCUGAUCUCGUGUCUAUAUAUGGAGGUCUCACUUUCUCGAACGAGUUUUAAGAAGGGGUUUGAGUAGUUUUGGCUUAUGAUUUUGUUUCUUAUUUCUUGCUGUUCAUGAGGGUAUGGAACCAUUAUUUGAGCACUCUUUUAUGCAGAUGCAUCCCAACGCUUGUCGGAUGCUGGAGUCUCACUGUUGAAAGAAAAAAGGGGUUUUCUGAGUUAUUAUCUGAUUUUAUAUUAUUGGAGCCCGUAUGACAUCCUGAGACAUUUUUUGCGCAAUGUCUUUAUAUGCAGGCCAUUACACUAGUCUUCUUGUGGGGUCUGAUUCCUUGAAGUAGAACAAGCUGCUUUUAAGAAAGGGUUUGAGUGGUUCUCUGCUUAUGAUUUAACUUCUUACAUGAGCCAUUAAUGUUUUCUUUUAGAGUUUGAUGCAUCCUGUGUAUGGUGAAGAGUUUAUAAGAUCUGAAGAGUAUGAAGUCUUACUUUGUUUAAGGAGAGCAGGGGUGCUACUAAGAGUGAAUAUCUUCGCCCUAUUAUUUGAUUUGCUGGUCUUUGAGAUUUUUCACGACUUAUUUGAACAGCAUUUCUAUAUGCAGACACAUCCUUACUCGUCUUAUACAUGGAGUCCAACAUUGUUGACACAGAAGAGCUUCUUCCAAGAUGGGGUUUCUUGUCUUAUUAUCUAUUUUCUAUUCUGGAGAUUGUAUGAGAUCUUGGGCCAUGAUUUGCACCAUUACUUUCCAUUCUAUGCAGAUCAUCUUGUCUGUAUAUGGGGUCCAACUUUGUUGAAGGAAAUCGCUUUUAAGAGGGAGUUGAGUAUUAUAGCCUUAUGAUUUAUUUUCUUCUUGGAGAUUCGACACUUUCGUUGGGCAUUCUUUUGUGCAGAUGUAUCGUAGCUCUGCUCUGUUUCUGGAUCUUUUUCCUCAGAUGUUGGGCUUUGAAUUUCGUGUAGGGGCCUCAAGAUCCUUAAUUUUGUAUGACUCUGUGCUUCCCAUUCACUUCAAUAUUACACUGGUCUUUAAUUAAUUCACACAUUUUAAGGUUCGGCAGAUGCGUGUCUUUAUUGGUAUUGCUGUUUUUGUCUGGUUGAAGGUGGAUUCAAUGCAGUCUGUUCAGAUAUUUGGUCGUUCAUUUGAUAUUUUACUGCUAAGUGUAUAUGAUCGGGCACCACCAUUUGAUCUCAUGCAAUGUGUUUGCAGUUGCAACCUAACUUCUCUUUUACUGGAGUCGCACUUUGUCAGAGCUUGGAGGUGGUUUUAUGUUCCUUUGCUUGCGAUUUAGUUCUUUGUAGACCACAAAUGUGGCAUUUUUGAGCAAAUGUAUUAUGCAAAUUCAUUUCGCAUCUUUUUUACUUGAUUACAUAUUAAUGGAAUGGGUUCAAGCAAACCAACGAAAUUAUGGAUUUGGCAUGUGCGACAAUCAAGAGGAAUGGGAGUUGCCUUUGUAGAGUGUAUGUCUUUCCUUUUGGUCUUGUCUUCAUUGGAAUGUGGACUGCUUAGUAGUGUCCUGUGCUUCUUGGCUGACCAUUCUUCUUGGAUAUUGGGUCUGUAUAUUGUCAGCUUGCUCUUGAGGCUUGGGAGAAUGGGGAUGCUUUUAAGAGGUGUCUGGUACUUCCUGGUGUAUGGUUUAUUUUUGUUAGAUUUUAUUAGAUAUGAUUCGAGCAAAAAGAUUUGUGCAGCAACAUUUGUCUCUUAAAGUCCUGGGGUUUAUAGGCGGGCAGGCUGCUGAUUGUUUUAAGAGGGAGUGGGAAUGGGGUAUGCAGAUUGACAUCUUUGGAUGCAGUGAAGUAUAAUUGGACUGUAGAGCAGCACUGGAUGCAGUGAAGUAUAAUUGGACCGUAGAGCAGCACUUGCUGACACAUAAACUGAGUAUGACUUUGAUCUUCAUUGAUGGAACUGUUCUGUGAGGGGUCGUGAGAUUCGAUUGUCUUUUACAUAGUAUCUUAUUUCAAAUAUGUUUCAAAGUUGUAUUCAUUGAUCUCGUUUUGGCCAAGGUUUACUGAUGUUCAGGUUGACGGGAUUGAUUUGGCAGCUGAAAUGGAUAGGAUGACUUGUUUUCAUUGUCUUUGGAUUUCAGCGUUUAGAUCUUGCUCGAUUUUUCAGACUAUGGGCUGAGGGGUUAAUUCUUUCCUUUGAUUUAAUUGCUUCUCUCAAAGUCUUUUCGUAUAUAUAUAUAUAUAUAUAUAUAUAUUUUUUUUUUUUCUGAAGUGCAGAUGCUAAUAUGUACCUCUUCGGGUUUGGCUUUUGUCUUAAAACAUAGAGACCUGUUGGCAUCUUUCGGUUGAAGUGCCUGGUUUGCUUUUGCUGGUUCUUUUGUUGUGUCAUGUUGCUUUUUUAUUCUGGCAGGCUAAAGUUGCUCAAGUUUGUGAUGGAUCAGUUUGUUGGAUAUUUGAAAUUUCUGUGCAGAGUAGUCCAUUGUAAGCUUGAAGUGUGCUGAUCCGUUUAGGUUACACAUGGUGUACGCAUUGGUGUAUCAUUUAAUUUGUUUCCCAUAAGAGAGAAGAUUUGGUACCUGUUUCAUGUGCACACUUAUCCUGAAGAGAGUUUUUUAGAGGUGGAGAAAUGCAGGUCUUUAAAAGGGGUUGUUUAACAAGUUGACAGUCUGGCAUAAUUAUAUGGUCGUGUUUUAUGCAAAAGCAGUCUCAUUCUUUCAAUGCUGUGUCUCAGAUUCAAGUUUAUGCAGAGACCUGAUAAAACUGUUUUUUAAACUGCUGGUGGAUAUAGAUGUGGUAUGACGUGUGAUAUUUUCCUUCCCCGUCUUCUUAGUUUCGUCAGCUGAUGGUCAUACUUUUUUCUAUCACUGUUCCUUUGUAUAGCUUUCGUGUUCAUUUGGGCGGCUUGAUAGGAUCUGCCGUUCUUUUCUUCAUUUGGUGCUUCUCAUGCGUAGUCCAACUUAUUGAACAUUGCAAUCUGACACUGUUUCUAUGAUCAAUUUGACAUUUUAAAAGGAUUUGAGUAUUAAUUAUAUUCUUCAUUGUUGGUAUCAAAUUAGACAUUUUGAACUUUAGUGUGUUUUUUAUAUUGAUGUUCUUAUGAGGUGCUGGGUGUGUUUCUUUUAUUGGUUCAAUAAUGCUGUGGUUGAGCUUCAUUCGACUCUUCCCAGCUGGUUGCUAGUACAGGUUGAUUUUCUGGAACUAAUGUGAAUGCGAGUCGUGCUUUAAUGCAUGCAUAGCUUAUUUUGGAUCUUGCAAAAACCUACAAUAUAACAAUGAGCAAAUAUGCUUUAGCUGGAUUUUAAGCUCGUGAAGUGUGGAAGGGAUGAUAGGGAUGAGGUCCUCUGAGAGAUUGCAUUAAAUGUGAUACUUAUCUCUAAUUUAUGACUGAGUAAUGAACUUACAAAGAGACAUGUAAUGUAUUGAAAGAAUGUAGUCCUGGUUUGUCAUUUUGGAAUGAGCCCUUUACGUAGAUUGCUUAUUAUGGGAGAGAAUUUGUGUCUUUCCUUUGUUAAAGAUUUCUAAACUAAUAUUUCUCUUG